RNAcentral lists this ribosomal RNA (468 nucleotides) under uncultured bacterium. RNAcentral's name for it is "partial 16S ribosomal RNA". It matches the Rfam family "Bacterial small subunit ribosomal RNA", at positions 28 to 507 of the family's 1533-position model. The record is from RNAcentral.
GACGAACGCUGGCGGCGUGCUUAACACAUGCAAGUCGAACGGAAAGGCCCUGCUUUUGUGGUGUGCUCGAGUGGCGAACGAGUGAGUAACACGUGAGUAACCUGCCCUUGACUUUGGGAUAACUUCAGGAAACUGGGGCUAAUACCGGAUAGGAGCUCCUGCUGCAUGGUGGGGGUUGGAAAGUUUCGGCGGUUGGGGAUGGACUCGCGGCUUAUCAGCUUGUUGGUGGGGUAGUGGCUUACCAAGGCUUUGACGGGUCGCCGGCCUGAGAGGGUGACCGGCCACAGUGGGACUGGGGUAGGGCCCAGACUCCUACGGGAGGCAGCAGUGGGGAAUAUUGCAAGAUGGGCGGAAGCCUGAUGCAGCAACGCCGCGUGCGGGAUGACGGCCUUCGGGUUGUAAACCGCUUUCGCCUGUGACGAAGCGUGAGUGACGGUAAUGGGUAAAGAAGCACCGGCUAACUACGUG